RNAcentral lists this ribosomal RNA (464 nucleotides) under uncultured bacterium. RNAcentral's name for it is "partial 16S ribosomal RNA". It matches the Rfam family "Bacterial small subunit ribosomal RNA", at positions 339 to 795 of the family's 1533-position model. The record is from RNAcentral.
CUACGGGAGGCACCAGUGGGGAAUUUUGGACAAUGGGCGCAAGCCUGAUCCAGCCAUGCCGCGUGCAGGAAGAAGGCCUUCGGGUUGUAAACUGCUUUUGUCAGGGAAGAAAUCCUUUGGGCUAAUAUCCCGGAGGGAUGACGGUACCUGAAGAAUAAGCACCGGCUAACUACGUGCCAGCAGCCGCGGUAAUACGUAGGGUGCGAGCGUUAAUCGGAAUUACUGGGCGUAAAGCGUGCGCAGGCGGCUUUGCAAGACAGAUGUGAAAUCCCCGGGCUCAACCUGGGAACUGCAUUUGUGACUGCAAGGCUAGAGUGCGGCAGAGGGAGAUGGAAUUCCGCGUGUAGCAGUGAAAUGCGUAGAUAUGCGGAGGAAUACCGAUGGCGAAGGCAAUCUCCUGGGCCUGCACUGACGCUCAUGCACGAAAGCGUGGGGAGCAAACAGGAUUAGAUACCCUAGUAGUC